This 253-nucleotide ribosomal RNA is filed under the name uncultured bacterium. Its description in RNAcentral is "partial 16S ribosomal RNA". It matches the Rfam family "Bacterial small subunit ribosomal RNA", at positions 524 to 776 of the family's 1533-position model. The record is from RNAcentral.
UACGUAGGAGGCAAGCGUUGUCCGGAAUUACUGGGCGUAAAGCGCGUGUAGGCGGGAAGCUCAGUCUGUGGUGAAAGCGCCUGGCUUAACCGGGCGAGGUCCAUGGAAACUAGCUACCUAGAGGCCGGUAGAGGGGGGUGGAAUUCCGGGUGUAGUGGUGAAAUGCGUAGAUAUCAGGAGGAACACCAGUGGCGAAGGCGGCUCACUGGACCGGAACUGACGCUGAUGCGCGAAAGCGUGGGGAGCAAACGGG